CCUACGGGAGGCAGCAGUGGGGAAUCUUGCGCAAUGCGCGAAAGCGUGACGCAGCAACGCCGCGUGGGGGAAGAAGGCCUUCGGGUUGUAAACCCCUUUCAGGAGGGGACGAAGGUUCGCCGGUGAAUAGCCGUGCGGAUUGACGGUACCUCCAGAAGAAGCUCCGGCUAACUACGUGCCAGCAGCCGCGGUAAU
RNAcentral lists this ribosomal RNA (195 nucleotides) under uncultured Actinomycetes bacterium. RNAcentral describes it as "uncultured actinobacterium partial 16S ribosomal RNA". It matches the Rfam family "Bacterial small subunit ribosomal RNA", at positions 338 to 524 of the family's 1533-position model. The record is from RNAcentral. Lineage: Bacteria; Bacillati; Actinomycetota; Actinomycetes.